This 1113-nucleotide ribosomal RNA is filed under the name marine metagenome. RNAcentral's name for it is "bacterial LSU rRNA". It matches the Rfam family "Bacterial large subunit ribosomal RNA", at positions 1791 to 2925 of the family's 2925-position model. The record is from RNAcentral.
GGGUGGCGACUGUUUACUAAAAACACAGGGCUCUGCGAAGUCGCAAGACGACGUAUAGGGUCUGACGCCUGCCCGGUGCCUGAAGGUUAAAAGGAGGGGUGAGAGCUCCGAAUUGAAGCCCAGGUAAACGGCGGCCGUAACUAUAACGGUCCUAAGGUAGCGAAAUUCCUUGUCGGGUAAGUUCCGACCUGCACGAAUGGCGUAACGACUUCCCCGCUGUCUCCAACGUAGACUCAGCGAAAUUGAAUUGCCUGUCAAGAUGCAGGCUUCCCGCGGUUAGACGGAAAGACCCCGUGCACCUUUACUACAGCUUCGCACUGGCAUCAGGAUUGUGAUGUGCAGGAUAGGUGGUAGGCUUUGAAGCAGAGACGCUAGUCUUUGUGGAGCCUCCCUUGAGAUACCACCCUUCGCACUCUUGAUGUCUAACCGCGGUCCGUUAUCCGGAUCCGGGACCCUGCGUGGCGGGUAGUUUGACUGGGGCGGUCGCCUCCUAAAGAGUAACGGAGGCGCGCGAAGGUUGGCUCAGAGCGGUCGGAAAUCGCUCGUUGAGUGCAAUGGCAGAAGCCAGCCUGACUGCGAGACUGACAAGUCGAGCAGAGUCGAAAGACGGCCAUAGUGAUCCGGUGGUCCCGAGUGGAAGGGCCAUCGCUCAACGGAUAAAAGGUACGCCGGGGAUAACAGGCUGAUACUGCCCAAGAGUCCAUAUCGACGGCAGUGUUUGGCACCUCGAUGUCGGCUCAUCUCAUCCUGGGGCUGGAGCAGGUCCCAAGGGUACGGCUGUUCGCCGUUUAAAGAGGUACGUGAGCUGGGUUUAGAACGUCGUGAGACAGUUCGGUCCCUAUCUGCCGUGGGUGUAGGAUACUUGAGAGGAGUUGCCCCUAGUACGAGAGGACCGGGGUGAACGAUCCACUGGUGGACCUGUUGUCGUGCCAACGGCAGUGCACGGUAGCUAUGAUCGGACAGGAUAACCGCUGAAGGCAUCUAAGCGGGAAGCCCCCCUCAAAACAAGGUAUCCCUGAGGGCCGUGGUAGACCACCACGUCGAUAGGCCGGAGAUGUAAGCGCAGUAAUGCGUUCAGUUGACCGGUACUAAUGGCCCGAUAGGCUUGAUUUG